GGGUUUGAACGUCGCUGUCGUACUUUCGCCUAUCUUUAAAUUGUAAAUUAAACAAUUAUAGUUUCAAAUACAGAGUAAUCAAAUUAAUUUAAUCGUACAUCUUAUACCAAUCACAUUUACAAAGAAGUCUUGAUAAACAAACAAAGGUAAGUUUUUACGGCUUGUGAUGCAUUGAUAAUUAAUCCAUGAAAGUGUUGAUCCGUGUACAAAC
This 211-nucleotide long non-coding RNA is filed under the name Mytilus galloprovincialis (Mediterranean mussel). The record is from RNAcentral. Lineage: Eukaryota; Metazoa; Mollusca; Bivalvia; Mytilida; Mytilidae.